AGCUGGAUUCGCUAGUAAUCGCGCAUCAGCCAUGGCGCGGUGAAUACGUUCCCGGGCCUUGUACACACCGCCCGUCAAGCCAUGAAAGCCGGGGGCGCCUGAAGUCCGUGACCGCGAGGGUCGGCCUAGGGUGAAACCGGUGAUUGGGGCUAAGUCGUAACAAGGUAUC
This 169-nucleotide ribosomal RNA is filed under the name uncultured bacterium. Its description in RNAcentral is "partial 16S ribosomal RNA". It matches the Rfam family "Bacterial small subunit ribosomal RNA", at positions 1324 to 1500 of the family's 1533-position model. The record is from RNAcentral.